UCUGGAUAUGGUGUAACGGCUAACAUUGCCUUUCAGUAUCUCAACGUUCGCGGCAGCUCGGGGUUCGAUUCCCCGUAUCCGAA
Armillaria fumosa is the source of this 83-nucleotide non-coding RNA. Lineage: Eukaryota; Fungi; Basidiomycota; Agaricomycetes; Agaricales; Physalacriaceae. The record is from the annotation of a GenBank genome assembly.